Molecule: ribosomal RNA, 271 nt
Filed under: uncultured archaeon
Lineage: Archaea
Description: partial 16S ribosomal RNA
Rfam family: Archaeal small subunit ribosomal RNA
Source: RNAcentral
CAGCGCCACGAGUGGGGGUCACGAUUAUUGGGCCUAAAGCGUCCGUAGCCGGUUCAGCAAAUCCUUUGUGAAAUCGUUGGGCUCAACCCAACGGCGUGCAGGGGACACUACUGAACUAGGGACCGGGAGGGGUUGGAGGUAUUUCUGAGGGAGCGGUAAAAUGCUAUAAUCUCAGGAGGACCACCUGUGGCGAAGGCGUCCAACCAGAACGGAUCCGACGGUGAGGGACGAAAGCUGGGGGAGCAAACCGGAUUAGAGACCCGAGUAGUCC